RNAcentral lists this transfer RNA (85 nucleotides) under Escherichia coli. RNAcentral describes it as "tRNA-Ser". It matches the Rfam family "tRNA". Rfam says of the family: Transfer RNA (tRNA) molecules are approximately 80 nucleotides in length. Lineage: Bacteria; Pseudomonadati; Pseudomonadota; Gammaproteobacteria; Enterobacterales; Enterobacteriaceae. The record is from RNAcentral.
GGAAGUGUGGCCGAGCGGUUGAAGGCACCGGUCUUGAAAACCGGCGACCCGAAAGGGUUCCAGAGUUCGAAUCUCUGCGCCUUUU